ACCACGUCUCUGCAUAUUGUUUCUGGAGUAACUGGAACUUCUGUGAAGUGCUGCUCAUUGUUACUGAGAUACACGGUAAGAAACAUCGGCAUCAUCUUGGACCCGAACCGCAUGGAAGCGGGUGGCCAGACUGCGGCCCCGGCCGAGCUGAGGUGCCCCGGAGGGUCGCGGAUGCGGGGGAGGGGAGCGGAGAGCGAGGCCGCCCGGACCUGUUGCGAGGCGGCGGCGGCGGCAGCGGCGGCGCGCGGGUCCGAAGGGCCCUCCGCGCGGGCUGGGGCACCAACAAGCCCCGGGCUCCCCCGCCCCGGCCGGGCCCCCUGACGCGGCUUUGUCUCUUCGACGCUCGUGACGGUCGGGGCUCCCUCCUCCGCUCCGAAACCAACUAAUCCCGGGUCGGGCCCCAGCCGAGCCCGUGCCGGCUCCGCCCCCCGCGCCGACCCCGCCCGCGGCGCGCCCGGCGGCCUGGGGGAGGGGCGGCCGCGGGAACGGGAGCUGCGCGCGCCUGCGCGGGCCCGGCUGGGUAGACGGGGAGCGGCGGGAGCCGGCCGCCUUUUCUUUCUUCGCCCCGGACUGAAGUGCGGUCGGGGCCGCGCGGCGGAGCGGCUGGAGCGCGCGCCUCCUAGCGGAGCCGGGGCAAUUGGAAGGCCGCGCCUCAGGAAAACAGGAUGGUAGUGAAUGGCACCGAGCCGCCCCAGGGCUGCCGCCGUCACCUCCUCGGCGGCUCCGAGUCGUGCGAGGCAGGGGACCCUUUGCCUUCAGAACAGGGCGCCCGACGUUGGGCGCGUGGACAGAGUCCUCCGGCGGCCGCGCCGCUGGGCCAGGCGGAGAGAGGCGGACGGACUUCAGGGGAGGCCCGGGCCACGCCGCGGAAACUACCCGACUCCCUGGAGGCGGCCAGGACCGACCCUGUCCCGACAAAAUGGAGUUCCCCGUGUGGCUUCAGCUCGCGGCGCGUUCCCAGAGCUCCUCAGUGAUCCGGCUUUCGGAUUGUUCGCCUUUCAUCUCAUUUGCCGUUGUCCAAAUUCUAAUUUAAAACUCAUGUGUUACUUGCUGUAAGGUUAACAAACGUACACCGCAAACUGGAUAAAGGGAUAACUUUUAUGUUGUGUAUGUUUUACCACAAUAAAAAUAAAUUUUGUAAAAAUGUGUCAGGCAGCAUUCUGAGGAGCUUCCCUGGGGGGUGCUGGGAACACCCUGCAAACAGCCUCCGAUACGGGGAGCCGGUGGAUACCAUCCUUUUCCAGGGAGGGAGGCCAAGGCCUAGGGAAAUGGCAGGGCUGCCUUCCAAAGAGUAGCAGAGCGGGUUCAGGCUUUUAUUCCACCUUCCAGAGAGACACAUACUGCGGGAACCCUAACUCCAGGAAGCUUUGUUCUAGUAAGUUGUCAGUGCAAGUUCACUCAGAAUCACUUUUCUCUGCCUUUAUACAUGAUUCUAGAACCUGAAGUGGGGUAAAUCCCCUGGGUUUAUCUAGUAUCAAGAACAGACAAUUCUUUCUUAGCCCACCAUAUCCCUUACCAGAAUCUCCAUCGAACUCCCUAUUGCACCAUCCCAGAUACUGUAUCUGGAAAUACUAAAUUACGGUUAAUUCAACUAGAAUUUAACGUUCUCGCCCGG
This 1615-nucleotide long non-coding RNA is filed under the name Homo sapiens (human). Its description in RNAcentral is "LNC_000223". Lineage: Eukaryota; Metazoa; Chordata; Mammalia; Primates; Hominidae. The record is from RNAcentral.